CCAAAUUAUGAAAAUUGGCAAUUGGGCGAUGUUCACAGUGUCCCGUCUACUGCCUGGGGCCCCUGUCAUGCAGCAGCUGCAGAUACCACGUCCUUGGGUUGGAGCCCCUUCUCUACUCACGUUGGACAUAGAAUCACUUUUCCAAUCAGAAGUAAUAUGAAACAAAAUUGGACUUUUUCAUCAACUGGAGAAAUUGAAACAUGUUUAUUUAAUUGUUAUGGCAUGCAAGAUAUUUUCUCAAGACUUCCAGUUAGAAGGGAAUCAGAAAUUUUGACCCUUUUUUGAAAUUCUUGAAAAAGCCCUCAAAUUGUAGGA
RNAcentral lists this long non-coding RNA (315 nucleotides) under Homo sapiens (human). Its description in RNAcentral is "non-protein coding lnc-TAF1L-2:1". Lineage: Eukaryota; Metazoa; Chordata; Mammalia; Primates; Hominidae. The record is from RNAcentral.